AGUCGAGCGAGCUUGCCUAGAUGAUUUUAGUGCUUGCACUAAAUGAAACUAGAUACAAGCGAGCGGCGGACGGGUGAGUAACACGUGGGUAACCUGCCCAAGAGACUGGGAUAACACCUGGAAACAGAUGCUAAUACCGGAUAACAACACUAGACGCAUGUCUAGAGUUUGAAAGAUGGUUCUGCUAUCACUCUUGGAUGGACCUGCGGUGCAUUAGCUAGUUGGUAAGGUAACGGCUUACCAAGGCAAUGAUGCAUAGCCGAGUUGAGAGACUGAUCGGCCACAUUGGGACUGAGACACGGCCCAAACUCCUACGGGAGGCAGCAGUAGGGAAUCUUCCACAAUGGACGAAAGUCUGAUGGAGCAACGCCGCGUGAGUGAAGAAGGGUUUCGGCUCGUAAAGCUCUGUUGGUAGUGAAGAAAGAUAGAGGUAGUAACUGGCCUUUAUUUGACGGUAAUUACUUAGAAAGUCACGGCUAACUACGUGCCAGCAGCCGCGGUAAUACGUAGGUGGCAAGCGUUGUCCGGAUUUAUUGGGCGUAAAGCGAGUGCAGGCGGUUCAAUAAGUCUGAUGUGAAAGCCUUCGGCUCAACCGGAGAAUUGCAUCAGAAACUGUUGAACUUGAGUGCAGAAGAGGAGAGUGGAACUCCAUGUGUAGCGGUGGAAUGCGUAGAUAUAUGGAAGAACACCAGUGGCGAAGGCGGCUCUCUGGUCUGCAACUGACGCUGAGGCUCGAAAGCAUGGGUAGCGAACAGGAUUAGAUACCCUGGUAGUCCAUGCCGUAAACGAUGAGUGCUAAGUGUUGGGAGGUUUCCGCCUCUCAGUGCUGCAGCUAACGCAUUA
Molecule: ribosomal RNA, 843 nt
Filed under: uncultured bacterium
Lineage: Bacteria
Description: bacterial SSU rRNA
Rfam family: Bacterial small subunit ribosomal RNA
Source: RNAcentral